Danaus plexippus (monarch butterfly) is the source of this 363-nucleotide long non-coding RNA. RefSeq lists it as uncharacterized. The record is from RefSeq and is a predicted model, not a curated record. NCBI's taxonomy places the organism in Eukaryota, Metazoa, Arthropoda, Insecta, Lepidoptera, Nymphalidae. The transcript has 4 exons.
AUGGGUAAUUUAUUUAAACAUAUCUAUAAUUAACUUAUUUGAAUAAUAAAAAGAUUUUUUGACGAGUUUCAAUGACAGCAAUUUAACAUCUUUUGUGAGGUUAGUAUAAAUGGACGCGAGUUUAAAAUUUAGUAACAUAAAAGAAAAUUUAUCUAAAAUGAAGUUCCUAUAUAUCCUACUGCUUAUCUCGGCUCUAAUGGCGCUGUCCUUCGCCAAACCUAAUAUGUUCGACGACAUUAUUCAUCAAGCCCAAGACGCGUUCAUUAACCGCACGGAAGGUUUUAUGAAAAUGUCAGAGAACUUAACAGGAAUGAAGACGUAAAAGAAUUGAAGGAAAACAAAUAAAUAUAUUUGACUUUGGAA